RNAcentral lists this ribosomal RNA (451 nucleotides) under uncultured bacterium. RNAcentral's name for it is "partial 16S ribosomal RNA". It matches the Rfam family "Bacterial small subunit ribosomal RNA", at positions 29 to 523 of the family's 1533-position model. The record is from RNAcentral.
AGCGAACGCUGGCGGCAGGCUUAACACAUGCAAGUCGAGCGGGCGUAGCAAUACGUCAGCGGCAGACGGGUGAGUAACGCGUGGGAACGUACCUUUUGGUUCGGAACAACACAGGGAAACUUGUGCUAAUACCGGAUAAGCCCUUACGGGGAAAGAUUUAUCGCCGAAAGAUCGGCCCGCAUCUGAUUAGCUAGUUGGUGAGGUAAUGGCUCACCAAGGCGACGAUCAGUAGCUGGUCUGAGAGGAUGAUCAGCCACAUUGGGACUGAGACACGGCCCAAACUCCUACGGGAGGCAGCAGUGGGGAAUAUUGGACAAUGGGCGCAAGCCUGAUCCAGCCAUGCCGCGUGAGUGAUGAAGGCCCUAGGGUUGUAAAGCUCUUUUGUGCGGGAAGAUGAUGACGGUACCGCAAGAAUAAGCCCCGGCUAACUACGUGCCAGCAGCCGCCGCGG